UACAGAGGGUGCGAGCGUUAAUCGGAAUUACUGGGCGUAAAGCGCACGUAGGCGGCUUUGCAAGUCGGGUGUGAAAUCCCCGGGCUCAACCUGGGAACUGCAUCCGAGACUGCUUUGCUCGAGUAUGGGAGAGGGAAGUGGAAUUUCCGGUGUAGCGGUGAAAUGCGUAGAUAUCGGAAGGAACAUCAGUGGCGAAGGCGACUUCCUGGACCAAUACUGACGCUCAGGUGCGAAAGCUAGGGGAGCAAACGGG
Molecule: ribosomal RNA, 253 nt
Filed under: uncultured bacterium
Lineage: Bacteria
Description: partial 16S ribosomal RNA
Rfam family: Bacterial small subunit ribosomal RNA
Source: RNAcentral